Molecule: non-coding RNA, 2984 nt
Organism: Ictidomys tridecemlineatus (thirteen-lined ground squirrel)
Lineage: Eukaryota; Metazoa; Chordata; Mammalia; Rodentia; Sciuridae
Source: RefSeq, a predicted model, not a curated record
ACACUCUUCCCACACCCUACAGCGCGAGUCGAAAGCAAGAAGCUUUCUAAAAAAUCAUUAUUAAAUUUCUUCGGAAACUAAGUGAACCAGCUCAUCAAGACUCAUCCACUUGUCGGCAGGACUGACCUGUUUUGGGAGGAUUUCUUUUGACUUUCAUCCAGUCAAAGGUCUGCGCUGGAGAAGACGUCUCCGACGCAGGGGAGCGACAGGCUUCUUGGUGGCUGGCGUGGAGAGGGGACAAGGAGUUAUUAUACGUGGCCAGGGUCAGGCUCUGGUGCUCUUGUCCAUAUGAGUGGUGAAUGUACUGAGGCGAACCCACCGUGCCCCCAGCAUAACCCUGGUGGUGGUGGUGAUGCUGGACCAUGGGAGAUGAGAGAUUUCCAGAGUAAACAGCGGAAGCGCACGGGGAGUACCCACCACUUACGUCUGCUUCCUGAUUUAACCCAUAGGGGCCGUAAGGCGCACCGAAGUUCUGCGCGCCAUAGCUUGGACCACAACCCGAGUGGGAGUAGGACACCCCCAGGUUCCCAGAAGUCUGGUGACGCGCAGCAGCCCCCCCAGGCAGCCCAGGCGACGGCAGCAGCUGCAGCGGCUGCAACGACAGAUUCCGAGCGCUGGGGCGAAGGGAGCAGAAGCUGCCUUCUGCGCGCUCCCGACUCCGCUCGCCCCCUCCCCCCAGGAGGUGGGAGCUGGGAGGCAUCCCCCGCCUCCGCCUCCUCCCCACCACGCUCUGAAAGAUGAACUGGCAAGAGGUUUCAUGUCAACCUCGGGCUUGUGGAGAAAAAAGGCCAAGCAGAGACUGAAAACUGAUGCAUUCUUAAGCAGGAGAAAUCCAGAGAUCAUCUAAGAAGCUUUACAACUAAAGCUGCAUAGAUUUUACUUUGACAUGUUUGUGACAUUGGAUCGGAUAGAUGAAAUUAAUAGUGAGGAUUAUACGUGAGUUUGCUGUUCCCAUGCCCUCCUUUUCUACAUUAAAAGAAAGGAAGUUUUUCUCUAGGCGGCACAUUUCAAAUGUGUUAGUCAUCCUUAUAUAUAUCUGUGUUCAGUUCUCAUAAAGAAGUUCUCCAAAAACCUGUCCCCACAAGAGGGAAAAUUUCUGUAGACCUUUUACUCUGAACUCCCUCAGUAGCAAUGAAACAUUUUCCCCAAACAUUUCCUUUUGGAACGGUAUUUGCCUAUGACCUUUGACCCACACCAAGCAUGGAAAGAGGAAGAGCUCAGAAAGUUACCCCUACCCCAAUUUCAGCUCCUAGGGAUCCUCAUCCUGCAGAAUGGGAUAGACAAGGGGACCCUCUUGGAGAUAGCCUCCUUGGGAUCACCAGGGUUGGGGAAACAAGGGGGUCUUGUUGGGCAGGGGACGGGAUGUAAGAGGGUCAGUGCUGGCAGUGAGGGAGAUUCAGGCCCUCUGCCCGCUUGCCUCCUUCCUAUACCUUUGUGGGCUUCCUCCGCUCUGGUUUGCAAUAUCCUCCUGGCCGGUUGUAGUUCGCCUGCACAAAGCCGCCUUCAGCCUCAGCCGCUGUCUUUUCUCUCCCUCCACCUCUCUUUCUCCUGGCCUGUUUUCAGGGGAACCCGCAUGGGGUGUUUUCCUUUGGAUCACAAAUUUGCACUGCCACACAAGCCUGCAUACAUACAGGCCAACUACCAUCCCACCUCUUCACACUGCUCCAGCUCCCGCAGGCCGGCUCUGCCUCGGCUGGUCCCCCCCAAGUGCCGCUCUCCUGGAGUGGCUCACAAAGGCAGCCUCCCGCGGCAUCCAGCCCAUAGGCUAGGCUUUGGUAGCUCGGAUCCUUCCCCAGCCUCCACACCACCCCUACCCCACCCCCAGGAAUCGUGGGAGCCAUUCUGCUGUGUAAGAGACCCUUGGUCCUCUGGGCAUGUAGGCCAGCGACCCAGGACUCAGCUAAAAUCUCUUUAAAUGCCUGAGGAGAGUGGGUGAAAGGCGAGCUUGGUUACGAUUAAAAUAAUCGUCUGCAAGUAUCUGGCUCUGCUCAAAACGCCUCUUUCGGGGCUCUUCUAGAAAGAGAAAGAGCGAGGAGGAGACAAAACGCCGCCAAGGCCCCUGAGCCGUUCAUGGCAUCCGUGGCUCAGCCAAGCUGUUGUUUUAAAAGAGCAAUAAAAAUGAAUUAUGACUGAACGCCUUCUAACUUAAUGCUUUCGGACGGGGAUCCCCGGCAAAUACGUAAGAGGAUUUUUAUUUGUGCAUGUGUUCCUGCAAUUGAUCUCUUUGAUGACAUUCUCAUUCAUAGAAAGCGUUUGAUUUAUGAGCUUAGGACGAAUUGCAUCCAGGAGCGGCGCAGCCCUGGCCGCAGCCCGGACGCCUUGCUCGGCGCUAAGCCUGAGCCUAGGUCCGGAAGCCUGCCACAAACGCCACAGGCCGUUGCUGCUGCUGCUGCUGCUGCUGCUGUUACUGCUACUACUACUACUGCUGGGAUUUAGCGGGUGAAGAGGUGACAGAAAGUAGGGAGCAAACCCAUAAGGAAAGAUCGCGAUUUUAUUCUAACUUCCAAGCCUUUGCUGUUAAGAGCAGGGUUCUUAAAUCAACCGGCCCAACACACACAUGUUGCUGCGCUUUCUCACGGUCUGUUUUGCCUGAACCCAUCAACAGCUGGGAGAUUAAUCAACCACUCUGAAAAUGUACGGGGGAAUUGUGGGGGAGGGGUUGGAAUGUAGAUGUUUGGGACCAAUGUGUAUAAAUAAAUGAAUUGUUGAUAACUUAUUGACCUGGUAGCUUGUUAAAGAAACCCAGAGUUGCUCAUUCCUAGAGCUGGGGUUUCAGUAGGCACUUUAUUUCUCCACCUUCAAAAGCUUGAGCUUGCCCAACUCUUAGGCUGCCCAAUCCUGUUUCUAUUACUAAUUUAAAUUUAUGGCUUGAGCCACUACACUGAAAGCCAAAUCCAUUCCCUUCCAAAAAAGAAAAAAGAAAAGAAAGGAAAAAAAAACCCUAAAAACAAAAAGUACUUGUCAGAAGCCCUAGCCAUUUUCUG